GCAAAAGGAACAAAAAAUAGCAUUUAUCACUUCCCUUUUCUUCAGUUAUUUUUGUUACUUCCACCCUUGAGGCCACUUUCCUUAAAUGAUAGAUUGCAAUUUUGUGUUGUGAAUGAUGAAUGUUGAAUGUAGGACGGGGAAAAUGAUGAAACAUGGCUCUGUUUUCAUCAUAUCACGACUGUUUAAGUC
Molecule: long non-coding RNA, 189 nt
Organism: Sebastes umbrosus (honeycomb rockfish)
Lineage: Eukaryota; Metazoa; Chordata; Actinopteri; Perciformes; Sebastidae
Exons: 3
Source: RefSeq, a predicted model, not a curated record